This 124-nucleotide small RNA is filed under the name Marmota monax (woodchuck). Lineage: Eukaryota; Metazoa; Chordata; Mammalia; Rodentia; Sciuridae. The record is from RNAcentral.
GCUGGGUGUGGUGGUGUACACUUGUAGUCCCAGAAACUUGGGAGGCUGAGGUAGGAGGAUCUGAAGUUUGGGGCCCUAAGCAACUUAGUAAGACCCUAAACAACUUAGUCAGAGCCAGUCUCAA